AGAGCGAACGCUGGCGGCAGGCCUAACACAUGCAAGUCGAGCGCCCGUAGCAAUACGGGAGCGGCAGACGGGAUAGUAACACGUGGGAACGCGCCCUUCGGUUCGGAAUAACUCAGGGAAACUUGAGCUAAUACCGAAUACGCCCUUACGGGGAAAGAUUUAUUGCCGAAGGAACGGCCCGCGUCCGAUUAGCUAGUUGGUGAGGUAAUGGCCCACCAAGGCUACGAUCGGUAGCUGGUCUGAGAGGAUGACCAGCAUCACUGGGACUGAGACACGGCCCAGACUCCUACGGGAGGCAGCAGUGGGGAAUAUUGGACAAUGGGCGCAAGCCUGAUCCAGCCAUGCCGCGUGGAUGAUGAAGGCCUUAGGGUUGUAAAGUCCUUUAACGGGAAGAUAAUGACGGUACCGUAGAAUAAGCCCCGGCUAACUUCGUGCCAGCAGCCGC
RNAcentral lists this ribosomal RNA (445 nucleotides) under uncultured bacterium. Its description in RNAcentral is "SSU rRNA". It matches the Rfam family "Bacterial small subunit ribosomal RNA", at positions 26 to 518 of the family's 1533-position model. The record is from RNAcentral.